Molecule: transfer RNA, 75 nt
Filed under: Polyangium fumosum
Lineage: Bacteria; Pseudomonadati; Myxococcota; Polyangiales; Polyangiaceae
Description: tRNA-Val
Rfam family: tRNA
About the family: Transfer RNA (tRNA) molecules are approximately 80 nucleotides in length. Their secondary structure includes four short double-helical elements and three loops (D, anti-codon, and T loops). Further hydrogen bonds mediate the characteristic L-shaped molecular structure. tRNAs have two regions of fundamental functional importance: the anti-codon, which is responsible for specific mRNA codon recognition, and the 3' end, to which the tRNAs corresponding amino acid is attached (by aminoacyl-tRNA synthetases). tRNAs cope with the degeneracy of the genetic code in two manners: having more than one tRNA (with a specific anti-codon) for a particular amino acid; and 'wobble' base-pairing, i.e. permitting non-standard base-pairing at the 3rd anti-codon position.
Source: RNAcentral
GGGCGGGUAGCUCAGCGGUAGAGCAUUGGCCUUACAAGCCGAUGGUCGCAGGUUCGAACCCUGUCCCGCCCACCC